RNAcentral lists this ribosomal RNA (327 nucleotides) under uncultured bacterium. RNAcentral describes it as "bacterial SSU rRNA". It matches the Rfam family "Bacterial small subunit ribosomal RNA", at positions 28 to 334 of the family's 1533-position model. The record is from RNAcentral.
GAUGAACGCUGGCGGCGUGCCUAACACAUGCAAGUCGAGCGAAGCGCCUUACUUGAUUUCUUCGGGAUGAAAGUAUUGUGACUGAGCGGGCGACGGGUGAAGGUACGCGUGGAUAACCUGCCUCAUACAGGGGGAUAACAGUUAGAAAUGACUGCUAAUACCGCAUAAGCCCACGGCCCGGCAUCGGGUUGAGGGAAAAGGAUUUAUUCGCUUCAGGAUGGACUCGCGUCCAAUUAGCUAGUUGGUGAGGUAACGGCCCACCAAGGCGACGAUUGGUAGCCGGACUGAGAGGUUGAACGGCCACAUUGGGACUGAGACACGGCCCAG